CUACGGGAGACAGCAGUGGGGAAUAUUGCACAAUGGGCGCAAGCCUGAUGCAGCAACGCCGCGUGAACGAAGAAGGUCUUCGGAUCGUAAAGUUCUUUUCUUAGGGAAGAAAAAUGACGGUACCUAAGGAAUAAGCACCGGCUAAAUACGUGCCAGCAGCCGCGGUAAUACGUAUGGUGCAAGCGUUAUCCGGAAUCACGGGGCGUAAAGGGAGCGUAGGCGGUUUUGCAAGUCAGAAGUGAAAGGCUACGGCUCAACCGUGGUAAGCUUUUGAAACUGCAAGACUAGAGUGCAGGAGAGGCAAGUGGAAUUCCUAGUGUAGAGGUGAAAUUCGUAGAUAUUAGGAGGAACACCAGUGGCGAAGGCGACUUGCUGGACUGUAACUGACGCUGAGGCUCGAAAGCGUGGGGAGCGAACAGGAUUAGAUACCCUCGUAGUC
RNAcentral lists this ribosomal RNA (439 nucleotides) under uncultured bacterium. RNAcentral describes it as "partial 16S ribosomal RNA". It matches the Rfam family "Bacterial small subunit ribosomal RNA", at positions 339 to 795 of the family's 1533-position model. The record is from RNAcentral.